This is a non-coding RNA of Schistocerca cancellata (South American locust), 73 nucleotides long. The record is from the annotation of a RefSeq genome assembly. Lineage: Eukaryota; Metazoa; Arthropoda; Insecta; Orthoptera; Acrididae.
GUCUGGAUGGCGUAGUGGUUAGUGCAUCUGCCUCGUAAGCAGAAGACCCGGGUUCGAAUCCCAGUUUGGCACA